AUAGCAUAUCAAUAAGCGGAGGAAAAGAAACCAACAGGGAUUGCCCUAGUAACGGCGAGUGAAGCGGCAACAGCUCAAAUUUGAAAUCUGGCCUCCUUUGGUGGUCCGAGUUGUAAUUUGUAGAGGGCGCUUUGGCGUCGGCAGCGGUCUAAGUUCCUUGGAACAGGACGUCACAGAGGGUGAGAAUCCCGUACGUGGUCGCCUGCCUUCGCCGUGUAAAGCCCCUUCGACGAGUCGAGUUGUUUGGGAAUGCAGCUCUAAAUGGGAGGUAAAUUUCUUCUAAAGCUAAAUACUGGCCAGAGACCGAUAGCGCACAAGUAGAGUGAUCGAAAGAUGAAAAGCACUUUGGAAAGAGAGUCAAACAGCACGUGAAAUUGUUGAAAGGGAAGCGCUUGCCGCCAGACGUGCCCGUGGUGGUUCUCCUCCGCGGGCAGGCCAGCAUCAGUUUGGGCGAUCGGAUAAAGGCCUCUGUCAUGUAUCUCCCUUCGGGGUGACCUUAUAGGGGAGGCGUAAUGCGAUCAGCCCGGACUGAGGUCCGCGCAUCUGCUAGGAUGCUGGCGUAAUGGCUGUAAGCGGCCCGUCUUGAAACACGGACCAAGGAGUCUAACAUCUAUGCGAGUGUUUGGGUGUCAAGCCCGAGCGCGUAAUGAAAGUGAACGGAGGUGGGAACCCUUUCUGGGGGUGCACCAUCGACCGAUCCUGAUGUCUUCGGAUGGAUUUGAGUAAGAGCAUGGCUGUUGGGACCCGAAAGAUGGUGAACUAUGCUUGAAUAGGGUGAAGCCAGAGGAAACUCUGGUGGAGGCUCGCAGCGGUUCUGACGUGCAAAUCGAUCGUCAAAU
This 839-nucleotide ribosomal RNA is filed under the name Aquadictyospora clematidis. Its description in RNAcentral is "partial large subunit ribosomal RNA". It matches the Rfam family "Eukaryotic large subunit ribosomal RNA", at positions 35 to 910 of the family's 3401-position model. Lineage: Eukaryota; Fungi; Ascomycota; Dothideomycetes; Pleosporales; Dictyosporiaceae. The record is from RNAcentral.